AUGCAGCAGGCGCGAAACCUUUACACUGCACGACAGUGCGAUAGGGGGAUCCCAAGUGCACAGGCAUAGCGCCUGUGCUUUUCGGCACCCUAAGGCGGUGCCAGAAUAAGGGCUGGGCAAGACCGGUGCCAGCCGCCGCGGUAAUACCGGCAGCCCAAGUGAUGGCCGAUCUUAUUGGGCCUAAAGCGUCCGUAGCUGGCCGCGCAAGUCCAUCGGGAAAUCCACCUGCUCAACAGGUGGGCGCCCGGUAGAAACUGCGUGGCUUGGGACCGGAAGGCGCGACGGGUACGUCCGGGGUAGGAGUGAAAUCCCGUAAUCCUGGACGGACCGCCGAUGGCGAAAGCACGUCGCGAGAACGGAUCCGACAGUGAGGGA
This 375-nucleotide ribosomal RNA is filed under the name uncultured Halorubrum sp. RNAcentral describes it as "bacterial SSU rRNA". It matches the Rfam family "Archaeal small subunit ribosomal RNA", at positions 330 to 704 of the family's 1478-position model. The record is from RNAcentral. Lineage: Archaea; Methanobacteriati; Methanobacteriota; Halobacteria; Halobacteriales; Haloferacaceae.